Venturia canescens is the source of this 1248-nucleotide long non-coding RNA. RefSeq lists it as uncharacterized. NCBI's taxonomy places the organism in Eukaryota, Metazoa, Arthropoda, Insecta, Hymenoptera, Ichneumonidae. The transcript has 2 exons. The record is from RefSeq and is a predicted model, not a curated record.
GUUUCCUGAGAUGAAAAAAAUUCAAUCAUUUCAUUUGAAACUACUGAACUCUCGUUAUUUCGUUCGCAAACUGUCAGAAAAGAAGACAGCGACGGAUCAAAUUUUUCAAACAAAAAAUCAACCAUCUAACUAUUCGAGGACAUCAAUUUCUGAUUAUUUGUGCCGUUUUCUGACAAUAUUGAAAAUUAAUUGGCGUUCUUUAGUUUCUUUCUUCUGCACUCAAACAAACGUAGCAAAAUUGGUUAUUGCAGUGACAUUGAAGUUCCUAAUGUAUAGAGUAUAAUUGCAAUCGAAUUGUACCUCUCCUUUGGUGAUAUAUUCUUCGAUAGCUUCAACAGCAUCCUUGAACGUAGUGGACUUGCUGGACUUGACAAGGGUUUCCUUGAACUCUUGAUAAGGUUUGAGGCUUGUCUCUUCUAUCCAAGCACUGGAAAAUAUAUUUUGCAUCACUCGUUUGUUCGGAUGUGUUAUUCUAAUGCUUUUUUUUUUAGUAACGCACUUGUUGAAAAAGCACUUACUAGUUGUUGGAUCCAAAGAAGAAUAUGCAUUGCAUUGGGCCUUUUUUUGUGUUCGGCUUCUUCAAGUCUUUUGCGUGUGAAACCUUAGGACCCCAGGCGUUGUAUUAGUUUUGUGCUCAUUUGAAAAAUCUCAAUUCGAGUUGUUCAACACUUGCUUACAAAGUGAAAAUAAACAGCAUUGCAAUGCUACCGAACUGCUCUUAAUUUUGCAAAAUAAUCUUUGAAUUUUACAUAAAAAGUUAAACUCAAAAAAAUUGUUGCUUCGUUUAGUACUCUACAUUUAAGUAAUGAACAAAAUUUAAAUCAUUUCAAAAAUUAUGCAAAGAAUUUUUUGCAUCAAUACUUUAUUAGGCCCACAGAAAAUCAGUCCAAAGAGAAUGAGAAAUUCUCAACAUGUUUUAUAUCAAAUAUAAGUUUUCAGUUAAAACACAACUUUCUUUUUUCUUUUCAUGAAAAAGCAUCCAUGAGCAUUCGUGUUCAAUAAUAAUACAUGAUGAAUUUGAGACUUUAAAAAUGUCAUCUAUUUUCCGGAGCGGCUUCUCUUCAAUAUUUAACUUCCCAAUUGGAUCAUUUAGAAAUAUAAUUGUCUCGAGUAUAUCGAAUGCUCACACAAUUCAAUUCAUUCUAUUUCAUCAAAAUAUUCAACCUACAAAUUGAAAAGCGUUAGACUUCACUUCGAUAAGCAUUAUAUAUUGACAACUUUGUCUAAUAAAUACUCAACAUCCUAAAA